Molecule: long non-coding RNA, 1066 nt
Filed under: Homo sapiens (human)
Lineage: Eukaryota; Metazoa; Chordata; Mammalia; Primates; Hominidae
Description: HSALNT0374749
Source: RNAcentral
UCUCCUGACCUUGUGAUCCGCCCGCCUCGGCCUCCCAAAGUGCUGGGAUUACAGGCGUGAGCCACCGCGCCCGGCCGCAUCUUUUCUUUUUCUCCUUUUUCCCAACUACUGCUGUGCUUUCUGGCUUUGUGCCUUCCUUCUUUGCUUCCUCUCCCAUCACUCCACAGACAAGGAGGCUCUGUCCAAGCUCCUGUCCUGGCUCGCUCAGCCCAGCCUUCAGGUUCUCAGCCCAACACGAGGGUCUCCUUGGGUAGUCAGCUCAAUCAUUUCAAGCUAUUAAUCAACGGACUUCUCCUGAAUGCAUCCAGACCUCUCCUCAAGACAGGCUCUUGCUCCGUCGCCCAGGCUGAAGUGCAGUGGAGCGAUCACGAUCACGGUUCGCUGCAGCUUCAAACUCCUGAGCUCAAACGAUCCUCCCCGCUCAGCCUCCCAAGUAGCUGGGACUACUGGCACAUGCCACCACCCCUGGCUGAAAAUCACUCAUUUUUAAUGAGAAAAUGAAGCGGGAAAGGAAGCUACUCACAACAGCAACAAGAUCCGUACUAUAACCAAGAAUGAAACCAGAAUAUAGAGUUUUUGUGAUUAGAACGGGCAAAUAAAAGAACAAAGCUGAGUGGAGAGUCCAGAAUUCUCAGCCACUCCACUCCUAAGAAUCUGCCGUUUUUAAAAAGUGGACAUGUGCACAAAGGUAUACGUACAAAGAGGCUCAGAAAUAACAUUUGCAAGGGCAAAAACAUUGAGGCCAAUGCGAGUUUUUAUCAACAGGAGAAUGGUUAAAUGAAUAAUGUUAUAUCACAUUUGCAGUGUUUUAUUUAGAAAGGAAGCAUUGCUGUGAGUUCUGACAUGGAAUGAUCUCGGUGGUAUAUUGAAAAGCAAGUUCUAAUAUAAUUCCUCAAGCAUAAAAAAAACUAUAUGUUGAUAUAUUUAUGGAUAGAGGUAAUUGCAUAGAAAAAUGCCUGGAAAGAUACAUGUCAAACCAUUAUUGUGGUUAGUUCUGGGGGCCAUUUCCUUUAGAAAUUUUCUAUGAGAAUGGCCGGGUGCGGUGGCUCAUGCCUGUAAUCCUAGC